CAGUCGGUUGAGUCGCUGCGUUUGGUCAGUUGCACCUUCUGGGUCACUGGUAGCCGCGGGAGCCGGGUGGGGCCUAGGCGAUGAUCCGGCAUUAAGGAGCUGGGAUCAUCCUCCGUCUCAGGUGGUUUGGGGAAAGUGUAGGGGCAACCAAAGAUCAUCGGCUUGACUAGGCCCUUUGCCCUGAACCUCAUGAAGAAAUGAUAGGAGGCAGACAUAUGUGCCUAAAAAGAGCGUUGAGCUCAGAGAAGAGCAACUCGGAGUUUUGGGGGUGUGCUUUGAUUUGUGUACAUCAAUGGCAGAAUCAUCCAGCGAAUCAGAUCACUUCCGCUGUCGUGACCGAUUGAGUCCAUGGGCUGCCAGAUCAACGCACAGGGGAACUCGAAGUCUUCCUACAGUAGAAGUUACCGAGAAGGUCAACACUAUAACAAGUACUUUACAGGAUACCAGUCGGAACCUGCGACAAGUGGACCAGAUGCUUGGACGAUACCGAGAAUACAGUAAUGGACAGGCGGGUGCGAUAGAACAUUUAAAAGAAAGCUUGGAACAAUCAAUCGACCAACUCCGGAGUCAACGUUUAUUGAGAAACUCAGGAGGGAGAAGUAUUUCUGUUACAAGUUUGAGUGCAAGUGACCUUGAUGGUGGCACUGGGUCAGGUAAACACUUCAAAUGUUCUGAAAAACAUUAAAAAUAUUUUUGAAGUAGAUAUUGAAUACAUUUAAUUUUUGGAGAAAUAUGACCCACACAUAACUUCAUGCAGAUUGGAUGAUAGUACAUGUAGUUGUCAAGGAUUUUAUAGUACAUGCUUUGAAAUAUAUUGAAGGGUCUUUGUUGUUAUAUUGUUUUUUUUUUUUUCUCAAACUCUGUAGACCACAUUAGAGCUUUACCUGACAAAAACUUAGAUUUAAUUGUCUGCUGCCAAAGAAUCAAAACAAAUACAUAAAUUCGCUAUGUGAUACACUUUAGGUUAGGUAUCCUGUCCUAGCGUAAUAGAUUUUCACAUGUUUUAUGAAAUACCCUGUGAUGCUUGUUAAGACCAGGUGAAUUUUAGUCUUGGCAUGCAGGUAGAUAUGAAUGGCUAGCUUAAAGCUUAUGACAGUUUGUCUUAAUUAAUCUUACUUACACUUUUGUAUAGCACUG
RNAcentral lists this long non-coding RNA (1137 nucleotides) under Homo sapiens (human). RNAcentral's name for it is "non-protein coding lnc-GTF2A1-5:1". Lineage: Eukaryota; Metazoa; Chordata; Mammalia; Primates; Hominidae. The record is from RNAcentral.